RNAcentral lists this ribosomal RNA (120 nucleotides) under Paenibacillus soyae. RNAcentral's name for it is "partial 16S ribosomal RNA". It matches the Rfam family "Bacterial small subunit ribosomal RNA", at positions 1416 to 1533 of the family's 1533-position model. The record is from RNAcentral. Lineage: Bacteria; Bacillati; Bacillota; Bacilli; Caryophanales; Paenibacillaceae.
AACACCCGAAGUCGGUGGGGUAACCCGCAAGGGAGCCAGCCGCCGAAGGUGGGGUAGAUGAUUGGGGUGAAGUCGUAACAAGGUAGCCGUAUCGGAAGGUGCGGCUGGAUCACCUCCUUU